Molecule: long non-coding RNA, 2893 nt
Organism: Bombyx mori (domestic silkworm)
Lineage: Eukaryota; Metazoa; Arthropoda; Insecta; Lepidoptera; Bombycidae
Exons: 3
Source: RefSeq, a predicted model, not a curated record
AGCUGAAUCGCGCUAUCGUUGUGUUACCCACGAAAUUAUAUCCCAUAUUUUGAUAGUACAUGAAAAUUGGUGUUUAGACCAGGGGGGUGCAACUCCCAUACAAAGGAAAAGAACAUUCAACUAGCGUCAUCUUUAGGAACCGGCGAGGUCAUUUUUGAAACGUUUUGGCCUUAAUGAACUAAUAAAUUCACUAGAUGGCAGAUACGAGUUCUGACUCAAUAAAAAAGGUUAGCGUACUUUGAAGCAGUGCUUCCACUUUUAGGGAAUUCUCUCUUUUUUAGGGAAAAAUAGCUGAUAUUUUGGAUGAUAAAGACAAUUUAAAAAAUUCCAGGAUUUAGGAUAUUUCUGGGUAAAAAGCAAAGCCUAUACUAGUAACUGUUGUGAAUUUUAAAAUAAACGAUAAUUAAAGUAAAACCAUGAACAUUUUAUUUUAUGGAGAGAAUGACAUUAAGUCGAGUUGACAAGUAAAAGAAUAAAACAGAGUUGUGUAUAAAAACUAUAAAGAAGGUUUGAUUCAACAGUAACCCUCUAGUAAAGUAAAUCAUAGAUUAAGCCACUGCUUUUUUCUUAGGGAUUCCCCAGAAUCCCAAUAAGUAUAAUCCGCCAAAUUUUUAUUUACCUGUUUUCGUUGAUGUCACCAGAACUUACUCGUAUUGUAAUAUACAGGUACUUCAUGUACCAUGAAAGAUUAUCAUGGUAAUUUCAUUUACGAAAACCUUGUAAUUGUCAUUUCACUUUUGCUAGCAGUUCCUUCUUCAAAGACUGAGGUGGAAAGAUUAUUCAGUGUUCUCAAAUGUAAAAACUGACAAAAGAAACAGGCUUUCUAAUGAAACCCUGAACGGCUUGCUUCAUAGAAAGUUCCCAACUUUGCCAGCAAACAAUUGCUCAAUUUUAGAACCGAACAGUGUUAGGUUGCGUGCAGCAAAAGAAUAUAAAAGCAAUGCGUCGACUUCCUUGAAAAUUCUAAUCCUAUAGAUCUAUGAUCUUCUGGGGGCGUUUAUAUUAUAUAUACCUACAUUAAAUAAUAUGCUGUGGUUUAUUUUCUGUAUUUUAUUUAUGCUUUCUAUAUAAAGGAUUUAUGAAAGUUGUUUAGGAAAUUUUAGGGAUAAAUUCAAAAGAAACUAGGGUAAAAUGUGGUAAAAAAAACGUAACUGGAAACACUGCUUUGAAGUUUUCAAAAUUCCAGGGCCGUAAAACAACCUCAAAAAAAAAAAAGAGUUUUCAAAAUGUCGUAACGCUUUAAUUUUUUAAAUCGUUUUUUUUUUGGUCUUGGUGUGAGUUAUUUUAUGUUGUAGUAUUAAUUUAGAGCAACUUUUAGCUUUAUGAGAAUAUUAGACGAUUAGACAUUGAGAAACUCUGUUUUGAAUUCUCUUUAGACAUAACUUGGCUCCAAUACUUUUUUCUUCGUUAGCGUUUCGUAAGCCUGUGUAACUAUUUUCAUUUCUUACAGAAAGUUUAUUAUUAAAAAUCAGCAUGCCUCGAAGAUCGAAAAUGAAAUGCUAUUUCGGAUGCCUUGAUAACGUCAAAGGUUUGAUAAUGACAAAAUUUUAUGGAAAAAUUAUAAGGAGCACUAAAAUGUCUGAAACAUGAAAAGAUUGAUGCACUAUAUUUGAACCAGAACGUGUUAUGUAAUAUAUUAAUUUAAGAGAAACUGAUUCAGCAAGGAACGUGAACUCUCAAGGAUCUUAAUUUUUUUUAAAUAUGUUUAUAAUUUAUAAAUUAAUAAUUGAAAUAGUUCAUAAGAACUAAAUUGAUGCCAAUUUUGUUUUAAAAUAGGUUGUUUAGUUCUUAUAGUAUUACGUUUGAAUAGUUAUAAUUAGUAAGUUAGUAAUAUAUGAAAAUACUGAUAUAAAUUUUUGUAAAUAACCUUUUGUAAAUUCUACGAGAAGAUGAUUUUAAUUAAUGAUCAAAAGUCAACGGUCUUCAAAAGCAUUAUUUGCAAUUAUUUAGAUUAACUGUGGAAUAUAUUUUUACUAAGUUGUGUUUUCUGUAUGAGCAGAUAUAAAUGAAAAUGCCCAAACAUGAUUAUGUUUCUUACAUUUUCAUUAUGUGAAAUCAAUAUGCUUGUGACUGAGUAUAUUAAUAAUUUAUUAAAACUUAAGUGAUAGACAGCAACCCCUAUGGCACUGCUGAAGUUUAUAAGCACUGGUGACCACUUAUCAUGAGCCGGGUUGCGUGCUCGUCUGCUGUUGAGUCCAAUAAAAAUUUUCGAAACCCUUUCUAUUAUUUAGAUGUAAUAUUAAUGUACAUUUAAUUUGGAUUAAAAGAUAAAUUUACAUUUUAUGUUUGCAUGUGUAUGUUUAUAAUUCAUUUGCAUGUAACGAACAUCAGUUUCUUUUGUAACAAAAUGCAAACUAAUGGUUUGUAAUGAAUGUAAUUAACUUUAAGAUGAUUUUCUUUCAAUCUGCUGUUCGUUUCAUCUAGUAUUACCAAAUAUAAGAAUGCUAAGAAUAAUUUAGUAUUCACUUUAGUGUGUGUAUUAUCUCUACAAUGCUAGUAUAAAUAACAAUUAUUGUAUGACGAAGCAUAGGUAGUGUUUAUAGAUGUAAUAUUUUCAUACAAGAUGAUCAUGAUCUGUCACGAUCAACUUUAAGCAAGAACUGCUAUCGUUAAGAAACAAAUUUAUUUAAUUUAAUUCAAAUUGUCUACUAUGUUUGUAAUGGAAAGCUGACAUGUUUAUAUUUCGCACAAAUGACUUAAUUGACAUAGAAUGAUUUGAUUAUCUAGACUUAAUUAACUUUUAGAUAACUUUCGAUUUAAUGUUAAUAAGUACGCUAGUAGGAUUAAUCUAGAGGAAUUAUUGUUAUUCGAAAUUUUAUACAAUUGUACGUUCAUACAAUCUUUUAACAGAAAAUUGUUUGUAAUAUAGGGAAAUUAAAUAGCUUACAGAGAA